RNAcentral lists this ribosomal RNA (459 nucleotides) under uncultured bacterium. RNAcentral describes it as "partial 16S ribosomal RNA". It matches the Rfam family "Bacterial small subunit ribosomal RNA", at positions 338 to 795 of the family's 1533-position model. The record is from RNAcentral.
CCUACGGGUGGCUGCAGUGAGGAAUAUUGGUCAAUGGGCGGAAGCCUGAACCAGCCAAGUAGCGUGCAGGAUGACGGCCCUACGGGUUGUACACUGCUUUUAUACGGGAAUAACGCGCCUUACGUGUAGGGCUUUGCAUGUACCGUAUGAAUAAGGACCGGCUAAUUCCGUGCCAGCAGCCGCGGUAAUACGGAAGGUCCGGGCGUUAUCCGGAUUUAUUGGGUUUAAAGGGUGCGCAGGCGGGCGGUUAAGCCGGCGGUAAAAAUUCCGGGCUCACCCCUGUCGAGACGUCGGAACUGGCAGUCUUGAGUGGGCGAGAAGUAUGCGGAAUGCGUGGUGUAGCGGUGAAAUGCAUAGAUAUCACGCAGAACGCCGAUUGCGAAGGCAGCAUACCGGCGCCCAACUGACGCUGAGGCACGAAAGCGUGGGGAUCGAACAGGAUUAGAUACCCGGGUAGUC